GAUCACAUCAAUCAGAGAUAAAGCUGCGAUAUGUUUCUGUGUUUCUGCCCUCCCCAUAUAAACUGCUAGAUAAACAUCUGUCUUUGUUCCGACUGUUGGGGGCGGGGGGGAAGGUGGCGACCAAACUUUUUAAAUAAUUUCUAAUGAUCCAGAGGCAAAAAUGUGUACAUUAUAAGAUGAAUAACAUUUGGGUUCUCUAGCAAGAAUUUGUAGAGCGUAACUAAAACUUGUAAGCAGAUCUAAUGUUAAUGUUAUUGGAUUGUGAUCAGUGCUUUCAUGUAUCAACAUAAUGACAAUGCAUUCAUCAAUCCAUUGUAUUUGGCUACUUGACUUAAUUAAAGAGUUUUAUUAUUCUGAUUUUAAAGAACAACACAUGGAGAUGUUGUAGUGUUGGCUCCUAUUAUGACAUUUUUGCUUAUUUCAUAUAAUUAUGUACUGCUACUGAGAGUUUGUGCUGGUGACAACAAGUUAUAUCCAUUCUGUGUGAAUGGAUGCGGUGAUUAGUGCUUGAGAUCUGUGACAUAUAAACUGACUGAAAUAUUCCAUCCCUUGUCUCCUGGCAUGAAUAGGAAAGCAUAACACGGGCCUCAUCAUAUGACACAGUGAGGAGGAUGCGGUUCUAAUGUUGCAAAAGCUGCUGUAAUGAUCACAUGCAAGGCAGGCUGGAAGUGUGUAGCACUGGAGAGCUCCCUCAGAUAUCAUUAGCUGCUGUGCUGUGAUGAAGAAGCAGGAAUAGGAUCUUGUGAUCCCCUCCUGAGACACUAUUAAUUAAUAAGAGCUUUGCUAAAGAGGCCAUCCUCCACUAAGGCACUCCAUGCUAUCUCAAUGGGAAUCGAUUUGUGUCUCUCUUGCUGCCAAUGUGUCUGCCGGACAUCUUUUACAGUACGACCCUAACGCCAUGGGCCGUCUACGUGUCUGCUGCCGAAGCGCGUGGAGCCAGAUGACACCUUCAGAUCCAGGGAUUACAUUUCAUCAAUGGCCUCUGCUUCCUGUUGGACUUGCACAACACUGUACAAGUCGCAAGUUUGACAUCAUAAGUGUUCAGGUGUAUUAUGUUGCAGGGGAAAUUCAGCUGUGUUUUGUCUUGUAGGUUUAAGGAGCUUGUUAGUUUGACAGCUUAGAAGAACUUUACCACUUUGGCCUCCUGAAUACUUCACAAGACAUUUCUUAUUUAGGGCAAAGCUAACAUUUGUUCAGUAGUAAGAGGAUGUUGACAUGGUUUAACUAUUUUUAACUCUCCCAUUAUUCAUCAGUAUUUAUGCAAAGAAUUCAUAAAAUUAGCCAUAAGGUGAAAGAGUUCUGUUAACUAAACAAAUCACUGUUGCAAUGCAUAAUUCAUUGCAUCUGUAACACACCGUCAAACAUUUACAAAAUGCAAUUUUGAAAGAAGAGCAAAACAGGUAUUUACCAUUUGUCCUGAGAAUGUUUUCAAAUUUCUUGGCUUUGCUCUAAGUUACUGACUACAAAGAGUGAACCCUGCAGAGAUGUCGAUCAAUGUGCUCUCUGUAUGUCAUCCUUUCAAUAGAUUAAAUUGACUUUGACAAACCUAUAAGUGAUUUUGAAGACUUAGGCGUCGUUUCUUGCCCUCCAAGACAUCACUCAGUGGUUGAAAAAAGUGCACAGAAAAUCUGCAACGAAUAAAAAAGCUCAAAUGAAUCCAUUUUCUGUACCUUCUUAAUCCCUUCCAGGUUUUGCACAUGUAUUUACAGUAGACACAAAAAAGUUCACACACUGUUAAAAUACCAGUUUAUGUGAGAUAAGAAAUAGAGCAUAAUUAUGUCAUUUCAAAACCUCUAUAUCCUGUCCAAUUCUGUUAAAAAAUAACAAAUGUGUUAGAAUAAAACAAUGUGAAUAAGCAAAAGUAAGAGUGGUCACCCAAACUGAUAUUUUGGGAAGCCACUUUUUGAUUUUAUUUCAGCACUGCUAGAAGUCUCCCAGUCUCCUUCAAAUUGAUAUUUUCUUCCAUCUUGCUUUGCAAAAAAGUUUCAAAUCUUUCAGAUUGUCAGGACAUGUCUUGUCCACAUGCCUCUAGAGGUGAUCCCAUAUACUGUAUUUCUGUCAGGUUGAGUUCUGAACUUUAUCUAGGCUACAAAAACAAAAUCUAUCAUUUUAUUUUGAUGAAAUCAUUUUACUAUUAAUUUGGAUGGAUACUUGGAUUUGUGGUGAUAAUGAAUAUUAAAAUGUCUAUUUCCUUUAGCUUUGUAGUUGAAGUUUUUUGGUCAAACUAUCAAAAGACUUGGAAUGGAUGGAUUUUAUGCACCUUGACAGAAAGUUUAGUUCAUAUCUCAAGGGUAGGUCUAUAAUGGUAUGACCCAUGAGAAGCUCAGCCCAUAUGGCUUUCUUUCACUGCUUUUGUUUGAAACACACAAGCUACCACACAUCAGAAAAUCUGCCGUUACAAUUACAUAUCAUUCUUUGGCAUUACUUGUUUAUGCACGGCACAUUAGAGCUUUUCUGCUUGUUUGUUUGUCUUAUAACAUGUUUUAAUCUAGUUGUAGAGUCUAGUUGUGUCAGUGAAAUAUCCUGACUGUAGAUUGAUGAUGACUGAUCUGUGUGUCUGAAACUUGACCUCUUGGCCAGAUCACCCUUGUAAAAUAGACCUACUGUUAACUUGGAUGGGUUUUUACCUGGUUAAAUAAAGGUUAAUACAAUUAUAAAAUAAAUUCUCUAAAGCUGAGGACAGGUGUGGACUAAGGGAGAUUGAAUACGGAAAUUAAACUAACAAUUAAUUUGAGGAUGUACACGCAUAUGUAAACAGGUUAUUGCAACUAUUUUAUUUGUUACAUUUUUCUGUUCCCCAUUUUAAAUGUUGGUUUAUUUCUUCAGGAAAACGAUAGGAGGAUAUGUGUAAAAGACCUUCUCUCUGUGUGCAUGGGAGUGCAGGUGCCCAUACCACUGGCCUAUGGACAAGAUACUAAUAGACCUUAGAGAGGUUGAAAGGCCAACGCAGGUGAUUAGGAAAAAUUGGGAGGAGAGGGAAGAGAAGGACAUGCAGCAAAUGACUCAAAACUGGGAAUUGAACCCAUGACUUCCACGUUGAGUCGUACGUGAAAGUCAUGGCUCUGCAUAUGGUGCAGGUCGAGCCACCCAACGCCCUUUUUCUGCAAAUAGGAAAAAACAACAAUCAAAACAACACAAGACUAACCUGACCAGAAGCCUGGAAUAGCACAGAGGAGCUGUGUCAUCAUAUUCUUUGUGAUCACGUUGCCUUUUCCACAAAACAAAACCUUUUCAUCAGACACCAUGCAACGUUAACUUCUUUGAAAGUGUGCCAUUGUAACAUUUUGUUGACUUCAUUGAUUGUAAGACUGCUCCUUAGUGGAAUCAGUAGGUGAACACUGUGCCAAGAGCAGAAACCUGGGACCUGCAUGCUGGCAAAUGUGGAGAAGAGCCAUAUUAAGCAAUGGCUGGUUUAAUUGUACAUCUGCAGGUGCGUGCGUGUGUGUGUGUCGGGGUGUAUGUGCAGUGCUGUGACAUGUUUCAAUACAUCCCUGCUAAAUCUUUGGUCAACAGCCGUCAGAAGGAGUACCGGUACAUAAAUCUAACAGAUGUGAGAAGUUGUUUUCAUUAUGUGUCCAAAUACACCUUAUGUGAUUACAGCGAUCCAAAAUGUAAGACUUUAGAUGAAGGACAAAAUAUGCAAUAAAAAAUAAUAAUACCUUGACAGAAGAAAAAAUGACCUGAAAACCCUAGAAGGUUUCUCUGGACAUGUGAGUGAAAACUGGCUAAGUGGAUAAAAACCAUAAAUACUGAGAAGUGUGACUGAUGAUGACUUGCAGGUGUAUGAAGCUGAAAACUGAGAACACAAAGAAGUAAAAACAAAAGUAGAAAUAAAGGGAAAAAAAUCUGCACAAAUGACUCAUGCAGUUGUUUUUGUUUAUGUGUUUAUUUGUUUGUAGACAGGCUAUAUUAUGUAGGAAUGAUCAUACAAAUUCUCCUUCGCUCUGAGAGAUAAUAUCAAAUCGACUUUUUUGAGUUUUAUGUCAUGUUAUUCCUCCAUCAGAAACAUACCUGGAGUGUUGCUUUGAUUCUUUCAAGCAAGUUUGAGAAAUCCUUUAAUCUCCUGUGGCAACCAUUUGAGAGUUUUGUUCUCACAAAACGCUGUCUAUUUCCACAAUGUUGCUCCAGCUACGGUCUCCUAGCAGAUCUUCCACCUCACUGAGCCGCCAUUCUCCGUGACUGCUCAUUCAACUCCUCUAGACUAGCGGCAGCAGCAAUUUGCAAACACCUGGUGGAACUGGGAGUCAACUCAGCUCGUCUUACAAACUACUUCUCAGUCCAAUGCUCCUAAGAAUAGAUGUAAAUGACAUAAUGGAGGAACGUGAUGACAUGCUAAAGGAGGAGUCCAGGAAAGAGUAGGAGCUUCUUAAAGAGACAGGACAUAAUUUCAAGGCCUUAAAUUACAAAGUCAACUGUAUGUGGUCACUGACCUGUACUGCUCUAAACCUUCAAAUUUACCAUUAAACUGCAAAUAAAUUGCCAA
This is a long non-coding RNA of Xiphophorus couchianus (Monterrey platyfish), 4483 nucleotides long. RefSeq lists it as uncharacterized. Lineage: Eukaryota; Metazoa; Chordata; Actinopteri; Cyprinodontiformes; Poeciliidae. The transcript has 3 exons. The record is from RefSeq and is a predicted model, not a curated record.